UCCGGCAUGGUGUAGGGGUCAACAUUGGUGCUUUUCAGUGUUACGUAAUCAGGUCCGCUUGCGUAAUCUCAAUCGCACUAGCCCGGGGUUCGAUUCCCCGUACCGGAA
Molecule: non-coding RNA, 108 nt
Organism: Mycena latifolia
Lineage: Eukaryota; Fungi; Basidiomycota; Agaricomycetes; Agaricales; Mycenaceae
Source: the annotation of a GenBank genome assembly